This 75-nucleotide transfer RNA is filed under the name Mycolicibacterium frederiksbergense. Its description in RNAcentral is "tRNA-Pro". It matches the Rfam family "tRNA". From Rfam's summary of the family: Transfer RNA (tRNA) molecules are approximately 80 nucleotides in length. Their secondary structure includes four short double-helical elements and three loops (D, anti-codon, and T loops). Further hydrogen bonds mediate the characteristic L-shaped molecular structure. tRNAs have two regions of fundamental functional importance: the anti-codon, which is responsible for specific mRNA codon recognition, and the 3' end, to which the tRNAs corresponding amino acid is attached (by aminoacyl-tRNA synthetases). tRNAs cope with the degeneracy of the genetic code in two manners: having more than one tRNA (with a specific anti-codon) for a particular amino acid; and 'wobble' base-pairing, i.e. permitting non-standard base-pairing at the 3rd anti-codon position. The record is from RNAcentral. Lineage: Bacteria; Bacillati; Actinomycetota; Actinomycetes; Mycobacteriales; Mycobacteriaceae.
CGGGGUGUAGCUCAGUUUGGCCAGAGUGCACGGUUUGGGUCCGUGACGUCGCAGGUUCGAAUCCUGUCACCCCGA